GCCAGGUGAGGUGGCACAUGCCUAUAGUCCCAGCUACUCAGGAGGCUGAAGUGGGAGGAUCGCUGAAGCCCAGGAGUUCUGGGCUGUAGUGCGCUAUGCCCGUCGGGUGUCCACACUAAGUUCGGCAUCAAUAUGGUGACCUCCUGGGAGCGGGGGACCAUCAAGUUGCCUAAGGAGGGGUGAACUGGCCCAGGUCAGAAACGGAGCAGGUCAAAACUCCUGUGCUGAUCAGUAGUGGGAUCGUGCCUGUGAAUAGCCACUGUACUCCAGCCUGGGCAACAUAGGGAGACCCCAUCUCA
This 299-nucleotide signal recognition particle RNA is filed under the name Saimiri boliviensis boliviensis (Bolivian squirrel monkey). RNAcentral's name for it is "Metazoan signal recognition particle RNA (ENSSBOG00000002530.1)". It matches the Rfam family "Metazoan signal recognition particle RNA". From Rfam's summary of the family: The signal recognition particle (SRP) is a universally conserved ribonucleoprotein. It is involved in the co-translational targeting of proteins to membranes. The record is from RNAcentral. Lineage: Eukaryota; Metazoa; Chordata; Mammalia; Primates; Cebidae.